This 304-nucleotide ribosomal RNA is filed under the name Salmonella enterica subsp. enterica serovar Muenchen. Its description in RNAcentral is "partial 16S ribosomal RNA". It matches the Rfam family "Bacterial small subunit ribosomal RNA", at positions 1 to 303 of the family's 1533-position model. RNAcentral also lists the same sequence under 1 other name. Lineage: Bacteria; Pseudomonadati; Pseudomonadota; Gammaproteobacteria; Enterobacterales; Enterobacteriaceae. The record is from RNAcentral.
AAAUUGAAGAGUUUGAUCAUGGCUCAGAUUGAACGCUGGCGGCAGGCCUAACACAUGCAAGUCGAACGGUAGCACAGAGAGCUUGCUCUCGGGUGACGAGUGGCGGACGGGUGAGUAAUGUCUGGGAAACUGCCUGAUGGAGGGGGAUAACUACUGGAAACGGUGGCUAAUACCGCAUAACGUCGCAAGACCAAAGAGGGGGACCUUCGGGCCUCUUGCCAUCAGAUGUGCCCAGAUGGGAUUAGCUAGUUGGUGAGGUAACGGCUCACCAAGGCGACGAUCCCUAGCUGGUCUGAGAGGAUGA